RNAcentral lists this ribosomal RNA (433 nucleotides) under uncultured bacterium. RNAcentral describes it as "partial 16S ribosomal RNA". It matches the Rfam family "Bacterial small subunit ribosomal RNA", at positions 29 to 507 of the family's 1533-position model. The record is from RNAcentral.
AACGAACGCUGGCGGCAUGCCUAACGCAUGCAAGUCGAACGAGACCUUCGGGUCUAGUGGCGCACGGGUGCGUCACGCGUGGGAACCUGCCCUUAGGUUCGGAAUAACUCCCCGAAAGGGGUGCUAAUACCGGAUAAUGUCUUCGGACCAAAGAUUUAUCGCCUUUGGAUGGGCCCGCGUUGGAUUAGCUAGUUGGUAGGGUAAAAGCCUACCAAGGCGACGAUCCAUAGCUGGUCUGAGAGGAUGAUCAGCCACACUGGGACUGAGACACGGCCCAGACUCCUACGGGAAGCAGCAGUGGGGAAUAUUGGACAAUGGGCGAAAGCCUGAUCCAGCAAUGCCGCGUGAGUGAUGAAGGCCUUAGGGUUGUAAAGCUCUUUUACCCGGGAUGAUAAUGACAGUACCGGGAGAAUAAGCGCCGGCUAACUCCGUG